UUAGAGUUUGAUCCUGGCUCAGGAUGAACGCUGGCGGCGUGCCUAACACAUGCAAGUCGGCGAACCCUUCGGGGUGAGCGGCGGACGGGUGAGUAACGCGUGGGUAACCUGCCCUAUACCACGGAUAACGUACCGAAAGGUACGCUAAUACGAGAUAAUAUAUUUUUAUCGCAUGGUAGAAUAUCAAAGCUCCGGCGGUAUAGGAUGGACCCGCGUCUGAUUAGCUAGUUGGUAAGGUAUGGCUUACCAAGGCGACGAUCAGUAGCCGACCUGAGAGGGUGAUCGGCCACAUUGGAACUAGACACGGUCCAAACUCCUACGGGAGGCAGCAGUGGGGAAUAUUGCACAAUGGGCGAAAGCUGAUGCAGCAACGCCGCGUGAGCGAUGAAGGCCUUCGGGUCGUAAAGCUCUGUCCUCAAGAAGAUAAUGACGGUACUUGAGGAGGAAGCCCCGGCUAACUACGUGCCAGCAGCCGCGGUAUACGUAGGGGGCUAGCGUUAUCCGGAAUUACUGGGCGUAAAGGGUGCGUAGGUGGUUUCUAAGUCAGAGGUGAAAGGCUACGGCUCAACCGUAGUAAGCCUUUGAAACUGAGAAACUUGGUGCAGGAGAGGAGAGUAGAAUUCCUAGUGUAGCGGUGAAAUGCGUAGAUAUUAGGAGGAUACCAGUUGCGAAGGCGGCUCUCUGGACUGUAACUGACACUGAGGCACGAAAGCGUGGGGGCAAACAGGAUUAGAUACCCUGGUAGUCCACGCCGUAAACGAUGAGUACUA
Molecule: ribosomal RNA, 770 nt
Filed under: uncultured Bacillota bacterium
Lineage: Bacteria; Bacillati; Bacillota
Description: bacterial SSU rRNA
Rfam family: Bacterial small subunit ribosomal RNA
Source: RNAcentral